Molecule: ribosomal RNA, 117 nt
Filed under: Pteropus alecto (black flying fox)
Lineage: Eukaryota; Metazoa; Chordata; Mammalia; Chiroptera; Pteropodidae
Source: RNAcentral
UUCUAUAGCCAUGCCACCCUGAACAAGCCCCAUCUCAUCUGAUCUCGGAAGCUAACCAGGGUUGUAUUGGUUAGUACUUGGAUGGGAGACCACUAGGAAGACCAGGUGCUGUAGGCG